This 253-nucleotide ribosomal RNA is filed under the name uncultured bacterium. RNAcentral's name for it is "partial 16S ribosomal RNA". It matches the Rfam family "Bacterial small subunit ribosomal RNA", at positions 524 to 776 of the family's 1533-position model. The record is from RNAcentral.
UACGAAGGGGGCUAGCGUUGCUCGGAAUUACUGGGCGUAAAGGGCGCGUAGGCGGAUAGUUUAGUCAGAGGUAAAAGCCCAGGGCUCAACCUUGGAACUGCCUUUGAUACUGGCUAUCUUGAGUUCGGGAGAGGUGAGUGGAAUGCCGAGUGUAGAGGUGAAAUUCGUAGAUAUUCGGUGGAACACCAGUGGCGAAGGCGACUCACUGGCCCGAUACUGACGCUGAGGCGCGAAAGCGUGGGGAGCAAACAGG